RNAcentral lists this ribosomal RNA (869 nucleotides) under Halomonhystera disjuncta. Its description in RNAcentral is "SSU rRNA". It matches the Rfam family "Eukaryotic small subunit ribosomal RNA", at positions 107 to 986 of the family's 1831-position model. Lineage: Eukaryota; Metazoa; Nematoda; Chromadorea; Monhysterida; Monhysteridae. The record is from RNAcentral.
UAGCCGUUGUUUCUUGGAUCCUCAAUUUACUUGGAUACCUGUGGUAAUUCUAGAGNUAAUACAUGCGACUAAGGGCCGAACUCACGUGACGCUNGCAUUUAUUAGAUCAAGACUAACCGGCUUCGGCCGUUAACUUGGUGACUCUGAAUAACUCAGCUGAUCGCACGGUCUAGUGCCGGCGACAUAUCUUUCAAGUGUCUACCUUAUCAACUGUCGAUGGUAGUUUAUGUGACUACCAUGGUUGUAACGGGUAACGGAGAAUCAGGGUUUGACUCCGGAGAGGGAGCCUGAGAAACGGCUACCACUUCUAAGGAAGGCAGCAGGCGCGCAAAUUACACAAUCUCAGCACGAGGAUGUAGUGACGAAACAUACCGAGGCGAUGCCCUUUCGGGUGUCGUCAUUGGAAUGAGUCGAAUCUAAAAAAUUCGGCAAGGAUCUAGUGGAGGGCAAGUCUGGUGCCAGCAGCCGCGGUAAUUCCAGCUCCGCAAGUGUAUAUCUAUGCUGUUGCGGUUAAAAAGCUCGUAGUUUGAUUCGCGUACUUAGCACGCAGUGUGGCCUUUCGGCUACUACUGUGAUGCGGUACAUUAUCGUCAGUUUGUCGUUGAUGCUCUUCAUUGGGUGUCAGCGGCGGCUGUCAAGUUUACUUUGAACAAAUUAAAGUGCUCAAUACAGGCGUUUCGCUUGUAUAGUUCUGCAUGGAAUAAUAGAAUAGGACUUACGUUCUAUUGNGUNGGUUUUCAGAACGAAAGUAAUGAUUGGGACAGACGGGGUCAUUCGUACUGCCACGUUAGAGGUGAAAUUCUUGGAUCGUGGCAAGACGAACUACUGCGAAAGCAUUUGACAAGAAUGUUUUCAUUAAUCAAGAACGA